UACGUAGGGGGCAAGCGUUGUCCGGAAUUAUUGGGCGUAAAGAGCGCGUAGGCGGUCCGAUAAGUCUGCUGUGAAAGUCCAGGGCUCAACCCUGGAAGGCCGGUGGAAACUGUCGGGCUAGAGUCCGGAAGAGGCGAGUGGAAUUCCCGGUGUAGCGGUGAAAUGCGCAGAUAUCGGGAGGAACACCAAUGGCGAAGGCAGCUCGCUGGGACGGUACUGACGCUGAGACGCGAAAGCGUGGGGAGCAAACAGG
RNAcentral lists this ribosomal RNA (253 nucleotides) under uncultured bacterium. RNAcentral describes it as "partial 16S ribosomal RNA". It matches the Rfam family "Bacterial small subunit ribosomal RNA", at positions 524 to 776 of the family's 1533-position model. The record is from RNAcentral.